RNAcentral lists this ribosomal RNA (497 nucleotides) under uncultured bacterium. RNAcentral describes it as "partial 16S ribosomal RNA". It matches the Rfam family "Bacterial small subunit ribosomal RNA", at positions 28 to 507 of the family's 1533-position model. The record is from RNAcentral.
GAUGAACGCUGGCGGCGUGCCUAAUACAUGCAAGUCGAGCGAACAGACGAGGAGCUUGCUCCUCUGACGUUAGCGGCGGACGGGUGAGUAACACGUGGAUAACCUACCUAUAAGACUGGGAUAACUUCGGGAAACCGGAGCUAAUACCGGAUAAUAUAUUGAACCGCAUGGUUCAAUAGUGAAAGACGGUUUUGCUGUCACUUAUAGAUGGAUCCGCGCCGCAUUAGCUAGUUGGUAAGGUAACGGCUUACCAAGGCAACGAUGCGUAGCCGACCUGACAGGGGGAUCGGCCACACUGGAGCUGAGCCACGGUCCAGACUCCUACGGUAGGCAGCAGUAGGGAAUCUUCCGCAAUGGGCGAAAGCCUGACGGAGCAGCGCCGCGUGAGUGAUGAAGGUCUUCGGAUCGUAAAACUCUGUUAUUAGGGAAGAACAAAUGUGUAAGUAACUAUGCACGUCUUGACGGUACCUAAUCAGAAAGCCACGGCUAACUACGUG